CUCUGCACACUGCUGAGUUAGCUGAUUUGUAGCUAUAGACUUCAGUUUAUCUUCAUUAAUCUUUAGCUUUUCUAUCUCAUUACCCAUACUAUCCACUUUCAUUGAAAGCGUAGUUAGGGUGUUGAGUAUUUUUUCUAGAGUAUCCUCUUCUAUUAUAUCAGUCUGUGUAGCUUUGUCUUGAUAUGUAAUCUGCAAUAACAUUUUUGUUAGUACUGAUCACUUCAAUUGUAAAUGUGAAAUUUAAUAUAUU
Molecule: long non-coding RNA, 250 nt
Filed under: Capsicum annuum
Lineage: Eukaryota; Viridiplantae; Streptophyta; Magnoliopsida; Solanales; Solanaceae
Description: long non-coding RNA (CANN_LNC000685)
Source: RNAcentral